Long non-coding RNA from Nasonia vitripennis (jewel wasp), 670 nucleotides. RefSeq lists it as uncharacterized. Lineage: Eukaryota; Metazoa; Arthropoda; Insecta; Hymenoptera; Pteromalidae. The record is from RefSeq and is a predicted model, not a curated record. The transcript has 3 exons.
AACGCCCCGCGUCGACUCGAAGACGAGGAUAUAUUUUGAUAGCGAUCGACAUUUUCUUCUUUCUCUCCGCACAGCAAAAUAGUACUAAUUUUCUUUUAUUCCAUUCUGCAGGUCGAUUAUACUCGGUUUGAAUACUCGUCGAUCUUCCAAAACGAAAGCCGAUACCCUUGAUCAUCUUGGCGAUACUCUCCUGGGUCGCUGGAUUAUCUUGUAAUAGGAUAUAACUACACAAGUAUACACACACACACACACACACACACAUACGUAUAGACUUAUACAAGAUAAGGCAGCAUUCCUCUUUCAAUCCGAGCAACACCUGGACGAAAUACACACAGUAUCAGUGUAACCACUCUUUGCAUCUGUACAUCCGCAGACACCAGAGGCUCUCGAGAGAAGAGAAUGGAGUCCGCGGGGGGACGACGAGGCUGAGUGAUGGAUGUAUCUCCGGGAAGGACACACGCCUAAAAAGAAGACGUCGAGAAAGAGAGAAUAAGAAGAACGAGGAUCGGAUUUAACGAUUGAUUUCCCGCCAAGCAGAGACAGUGUGGAAAUGCCUCGGAGCUGAAAGAGGUUUACGAGGAUUUUGUAAGGAACUGUAGUAAAGGAGUAAAAAAAGUCCAUACGGGGACAGUAAAUGCUAAUCUUCGACGUACCUUUGACUCGGUUGGAA